Molecule: ribosomal RNA, 495 nt
Filed under: uncultured bacterium
Lineage: Bacteria
Description: partial 16S ribosomal RNA
Rfam family: Bacterial small subunit ribosomal RNA
Source: RNAcentral
GAUGAACGCUGGCGGCGUGCCUAAUACAUGCAAGUCGAGCGAACGGACGAGAAGCUUGCUUCUCUGAUGUUAGCGGCGGACGGGUGAGUAACACGUGGAUAACCUACCUAUAAGACUGGGAUAACUUCGGGAAACCGUAGCUAAUACCGGAUAAUAUUUUGAACCGCAUGGUUCAAAAGUGAAAGACGGUCUUGCUGUCACUUAUAGAUGGAUCCGCGCUGCAUUAGCUAGUUGGUAAGGUAACGGCUUACCAAGGCAACGAUGCAUAGCCGACCUGAGAGGGUGACGGGCCCAACUGAAACUGGGACACGGCCCAGACUCCAAGGGGAGGAGGCAGAGGGAAUCUUCCGCAAUGGGCGAAAGCCUGACGGAGCAACGCCGCGUGAGUGAUGAAGGUCUUCGGAUCGUAAAACUCUGUUAUUAGGGAAGAACAUAUGUGUAAGUAACUGUACACAUCUUGACGGUACCUAAUCAGAAAGCCACGGCUAACUACGU